GACGAACGCUGGCGGCGUGCUUAACACAUGCAAGUCGAACGGGAAGGCCCUGCUUUUGUGGGGUGCUCGAGUGGCGAACGGGUGAGUAACACGUGAGUAACCUGCCCUUGACUUUGGGAUAACUUCAGGAAACUGGGGCUAAUACCGGAUAGGAGCUCCUGCUGCAUGGUGGGGGUUGGAAAGUUUCGGCGGUUGGGGAUGGACUCGCGGCUUAUCAGCUUGUUGGUUGGGUAGUGGCUUACCAAGGCUUUGACGGGUAGCCGGCCUGAGAGGGUGACCGGCCACAUUGGGACUGAGAUACGGCCCAGACUGCUGCGGGAGGCAGCAGUGGGGAAUAUUGCACAAUGGGCGGAAGCCUGAUGCAGCAACGCCGCGUGCGGGAUGACGGCCUUCGGGUUGUAAACCGCUUUCGCCUGUGACGAAGCGUGAGUGACGGUAAUGGGUAAAGAAGCACCGGCUAACUACGUG
This 468-nucleotide ribosomal RNA is filed under the name uncultured bacterium. RNAcentral's name for it is "partial 16S ribosomal RNA". It matches the Rfam family "Bacterial small subunit ribosomal RNA", at positions 28 to 507 of the family's 1533-position model. The record is from RNAcentral.